UAAUAAGUGUUUUAUGGCACUUUUUAAAUCCAUAUCCACCUUGUGUGCAAUGUCAGUCGAUCUUCUUCAUGGAGAUCGACCAAACAUCAACCUCUAUUUUUUAACUCUUUGUCUGGAAAAUAUUAUGAAUAAACAAUUCAAAAUA
RNAcentral lists this unclassified non-coding RNA (145 nucleotides) under soil metagenome. RNAcentral describes it as "partial internal transcribed spacer 1". The record is from RNAcentral.